GACGAACGCUGGCGGCGUGCUUAACACAUGCAAGUCGAACGGAAAGGCCCUGCGUUUGUGGGGUGCUCGAUUGGCGAACGGGGGAGUAACACGUGAGUAACCUGCCCUUGACUUUGGGAUAACUUCAGGAAACUGGGGCUAAUACCGGAUAGGAGCUCCUGCUGCAUGGUGGGGAUUGGAAAGUGUCGGCGGUGGGGGAUGGACUCGCGGCUUAUCAGCUUGUUGGUGGGGUAGUGGCUUACCAAGGCUUUGACGGGUAGCCGGCCUGAGAGGGUGACCGGCCACAUUGGGACUGCGAUACGGCCCAGACUCCUACGGGAGGCAGCAGUGGGGAAUCUUGCACAAUGGGCGGAAGCCUGAUGCAGCAACGCCGCGUGCGGGAUGACGGCCUUCGGGUUGUAAACCGCUUUCGCCUGUGACGAAGCGUGAGUGACGGUAAUGGGUAAAGAAGCACCGGCUAACUACGUG
This 468-nucleotide ribosomal RNA is filed under the name uncultured bacterium. RNAcentral describes it as "partial 16S ribosomal RNA". It matches the Rfam family "Bacterial small subunit ribosomal RNA", at positions 28 to 507 of the family's 1533-position model. The record is from RNAcentral.